UAUAUAUAAUAAGAGAAAUGCAAUAUAUAAAGGCUCCGGGAACUUUUACCCUCGUGACACUCCCUCAAAAUUCAAGAUGUCAUAUUGUAUGAGAGUGUUGACGGUUCUCCUGUUUGUGGGCUUCCUUGCUGUUAAUGCGUUCAACGCAGAUCGUCAGGAUUUUUUCCCGCCCCCUAUUUACUCGCGUGAUAUACAAUAAUCUUGUAAGAGACUACUGAUUGUCAAGAAUCGGAAUCAGGGAAAUUUCUACUGGUAAAAUGUACACAUUACUUUUUGUACUUUCACUGAAUAAAAGAGAUUCAUCCCUA
This 308-nucleotide long non-coding RNA is filed under the name Penaeus japonicus. Its description in RNAcentral is "uncharacterized LOC122244948". The record is from RNAcentral. Lineage: Eukaryota; Metazoa; Arthropoda; Malacostraca; Decapoda; Penaeidae.